This is a long non-coding RNA of Pteropus alecto (black flying fox), 1002 nucleotides long. RefSeq lists it as uncharacterized. The record is from RefSeq and is a predicted model, not a curated record. The transcript is spliced from 3 exons. NCBI's taxonomy places the organism in Eukaryota, Metazoa, Chordata, Mammalia, Chiroptera, Pteropodidae.
CCCAAAUGGGCAAAAACCAAUUUAUGCCACAAUCUUACAUGGAGCUGUAAUUGGCGUCAAACUGAAAUAAUUUCAAAGCGGUGUCUGAAAAUCAGCGAAGCCAUUUAGGUGCGAAACCAGAGCCGCCUCGCUGCCCGGGCUGGCUCCUCACUGUGCAAUCACACGUUUCGACAUUCGACGCUGUCAUCUGUUGACAUGGAAACCACUGAUAUCACCCGGCUCGCGACUGAGCUGACACAUAUCGAUGGCAUCCAGAUGGCCGGGGACAAAGUUUUAGUCCAAACACAGACAUCUUCAGCAAUUAGGAACAAGAGCAAGAGAAAACAUUUCUUAUUAAGCACAAGCUAGACAGGUUUUUGAUUAACCAUUCCCAUUUCCGUCAGCCUUGCAAAUUGGCACAAGCCCACAGGCCUGAGGCCUGGAAGUACUGGAAGUAAAUCGGGGUACUAGCCAGAAAGGAUUUUAAUAAAACCGGAGAGCACAGGCCUGAUUCUUCAGACUGACAUCAACAGAUGGGACACCGUUAACAUACUGAGACGUGUGGGAAGGCCCAGGAAACGUUUUGCAGACUGAUAACUUCGGGUAAAAAUCCACUGAGAAAAAUGGUUUUAAUGACUUCAUGGCCCACCUCUGGUAACGUCUUGCUUGAAAGGGAGCAGGUGGUAGAGAGGAGAAGCUGGACUCGUGAGCAUCCGGAAAAUCCAUCCUCUGGACAUAAUUGGGGAAGUCGCCAACAAGGAAGCCUAACCUGGUCAUUUCCAUUAAGAAGCAACCUUGCGAAGACGGGGUCGGACGUUGACAACCUUCCAGAAGAGGGCGAGAUGCUGAGGUCAGACUGGUCCUCCCUGGAGUGUGCGUGUGCGUGCGUGCGUGUGUGUGUGCGUGUGUGUGUGUGGGAGAGAGAGAGAGAGAGACGGAGGGAGGGAGGGAGCUGGCGCAGAGACUUAGGCAAGCCACAGGGUGCUCCAUCCUGCGCAGCGUGGGACAGAAUAGGAAGCGGCA